Molecule: ribosomal RNA, 271 nt
Filed under: uncultured prokaryote
Description: partial 16S ribosomal RNA
Rfam family: Bacterial small subunit ribosomal RNA
Source: RNAcentral
UACGGAGGAUCCGAGCGUUAUCCGGAUUUAUUGGGUUUAAAGGGUGCGCAGGCGGAAGAUUAAGUCGGCGGUGAAAUUUUGCAGCUCAACUGUAAAAGUGCCUUCGAAACUGGUUUCCUUGAGUGUAGAUGAAGUAGGCGGAAUUUGUGGUGUAGCGGUGAAAUGCAUAGAUAUCACGAGGAACUCCGAUUGCGCAGGCAGCUUACUAAACUACUACUGACGCUCAGGCACGAAGGCGUGGGGAUCAAACAGGAUUAGAUACCCGGGUAGU